This 253-nucleotide ribosomal RNA is filed under the name uncultured bacterium. Its description in RNAcentral is "partial 16S ribosomal RNA". It matches the Rfam family "Bacterial small subunit ribosomal RNA", at positions 524 to 776 of the family's 1533-position model. The record is from RNAcentral.
UACGUAGGGUCCGAGCGUUGUCCGGAAUUAUUGGGCGUAAAGGGCUCGUAGGCGGUCUGUUGCGUCGGGAGUGAAAACUUACAGCUUAACUGUGAGCGUGCUUCCGAUACGGGCAGACUUGAGGUAUUCAGGGGAGAACGGAAUUCCUGGUGUAGCGGUGAAAUGCGCAGAUAUUAGGAGGAACACCGGUGGCGAAGGCGCCGCUCUGGGCCGAAACUGACGCUGAGGAGCGAAAGCGUGGGUAGCAAACAGG